CUCUGCUCACCAUGGCCAUUAAGGAGCUUAAACUGGAAGGAAGAAGUGCUGUGUUGGUGAUUUCUACAGUAUGUCAGGUAGAAAAGGCCAUAUGUAUGCAGCCCUAGGGCCUUAGCUGGCUUGUACUCAAUGUCUGGCCUCCGGAUCAGAACUGGCCCUUCGGUUCCUGACGCCAAGAAUGAUUGGCGCCUCCUCUUCUCGAGUCAGACCAGGCUGGCCCCUUGGAAUGGAUCAGGAGGGAAGAGGAAUAUGCAGACGAUUUGGCCUCUGAGAUCAUGAGAUACAGACUUGGACCUUGUGAAUCUCCAAGACGGUGAAUUUGAAUGUUGCAUUUGAGGAUAUCCCUUUUUGUGGAGGAAGGGGAGCACUGGAAAAAUCUGAUUAUUUUCCUUUCUCCGAUGCACAGUCACUCUGGUAAAUACAUACAGAUCCCUUGGGGGAUGGCUAAGAAAAUUACAUUCUAGCAUAAUUUUAGUCAUACAAUUUGGGAGAACCUGCCCUGGUAUUUCUGAGUUACAAAUAUUUUAACACAUUCCAUUUUCAUUUUACUUCCCCUCCAUGAUUGCUUUAUAUAAUACUUUACAUCUUCCCUUCUUCUGUGUUAGGUUAGUAAUGUAUUACAAAUUUAUAUUGUUAGACAUACACAUCUAAGUCGUCACUUUUCCUGUGAUAGU
Molecule: long non-coding RNA, 674 nt
Organism: Hyaena hyaena (striped hyena)
Lineage: Eukaryota; Metazoa; Chordata; Mammalia; Carnivora; Hyaenidae
Exons: 3
Source: RefSeq, a predicted model, not a curated record